UGUACGACAUUCGCACUACAGUAAGACUCCAGCAAUUGAGAUGGAGGCAGGUGGGCCGCAUUUAAGCCACCCUCGUGAAGUGCUUCGGCAAGAAACUUUCAUAUCAUUAAUAAAUAAUAUGAUUCAUUAUAUUAGUGUUCGGAGUUCGAGACUCUGCUGUCACCAUUCCCUAAGGCACUGAUUGGGUGGGUAACCCAUGGGUUACCCAUCGGUUACCCACCUUCAACCCCCCGUAGCCCAUAUAAAUAAAAUGUACAUGUUGAACCUACAGUAUCCCGGUAGCUCGGGAAGCAUCGUUCGCCAAUAUGAAUUAAAGGCCUCUAACGCUACAGGAAAAUUUUAGUAGAAGAUUUAGAACUAUGUAUGUAUUCAGUUCUAGCGUUUGUUCCCGCUUUGAGGGCAUGAAACUCCCGUGCCGUAUUAUUGUCCCUAAUAAGAUUAUUCAUUCGCAUUCAUACAGUUCGAAGUGGAUUGGGGAACGCAAUUUAGCUUGAAAUCCAUUGUGUCUCUGGCUAGUUCUGAAAAGAAAUCAAUCGUGGAUUGACAAGUUUCCCUUUCCCUUCUUCGCCGGUCAAUCGCAGACACCUCCGCGCCAGGCUCUGCCAGCUGCAGGCUUGUGGCAAACGGCCGCUGAGGGGCGACUGGACAGCCGGCGGGCCGGGACGGGGUUGGUUCGGUCGAGUCUUUUAGCCCAGUAGUGUGGCCUUGAGAGCUCAGAAGGGAUAGUGCUUGGUGUAGGGGGAAACUAGUCAGCUUAACCUGCAGGGAUUUCC
Molecule: long non-coding RNA, 773 nt
Filed under: Volvox carteri
Lineage: Eukaryota; Viridiplantae; Chlorophyta; Chlorophyceae; Chlamydomonadales; Volvocaceae
Description: long non-coding RNA (VCAR_LNC003066)
Source: RNAcentral